GACGAACGCUGGCGGCGUGCUUAACACAUGCAAGUCGAGCGAUGAAGCACCUUCGGGUGUGGAUUAGCGGCGAACGGGUGAGGAACACGUGAGGAAUCUGCCUUCCACUCUGGGAUAACUCCGGGAAACCGGGGCUAAUACCGGAUAUUUUCAACUGGCGGCAUCGCCGGUUGAAGAAAGUUUUUCGGUGGAAGAUGACCUCGCGGCCUAUCAGCUGGUUGGUGAGGUAAAGGCUCACCAAGGCGACGACGGGUAGCCGGUCUGAGAGGGUGACCGGCCAACCUGGGACUGAGACACGGCCCAGACUCCUACGGGAGGCAGCAGUGGGGAAUAUUGGGCAAUGGAGGAAACUCUGACCCAGCGACGCCGCGUGAGGGAUGAAGGCCUUCGGGUUGUAAACCUCUUUCAGCAGGGAAUAAGCGAAAGUGAAGGUACCUGCAGAAGAAGCACCGGCUAACUAUGUGCCAGCAGCCGCCGUAA
RNAcentral lists this ribosomal RNA (480 nucleotides) under uncultured bacterium. RNAcentral describes it as "partial 16S ribosomal RNA". It matches the Rfam family "Bacterial small subunit ribosomal RNA", at positions 28 to 523 of the family's 1533-position model. The record is from RNAcentral.